Molecule: long non-coding RNA, 2210 nt
Filed under: Equus caballus (horse)
Lineage: Eukaryota; Metazoa; Chordata; Mammalia; Perissodactyla; Equidae
Description: lncRNA (ENSECAG00000047415.1)
Source: RNAcentral
GCCACGCCCCCGUGGAAUGCCGCGGGCGGCCGGUUCCGCGCGACCCCCGCCCCUUCCCGGACUCCCCAGCCGAGGCGAGGGGCGGGGGCGCUGGGGACCCCGAGAGAGGGCGUGGGGGAUUGACGGAGGAGCGCUGAGAUCUCCAGCAUUCCCGGACUCGGACUGCUUGCUGAGGCUGCAGUCGAGAUUUGGGGCUGUCUCGUCUUUCCGGGCUUGAACAUAAAAUUCUCGCCCAUGGCGCAGUGGAAAGCUUUGAAGUCCGAGGUUGUGGGAUCAGAGUUGCCCCCUCGGGGGAUAAGUGACCUUGGAAAGGUCACUUCCCUUUACCCAGCCUGGCGGAAGGAGGAAUAUUGCGAUGAUUAAUAAUCGCGCAGCAGGGUUGCUGAUGUAAAGCGAUUUGCAGAUGUAAAGGGCAAUAAGCAUUCCUAGGAGGAAUCCAGCGAGAUUCCAGAAGUCUCCGAGGGAGCCGUGGCCAAGUCGACAGCAGAAGGCAUGAGUAACCUGAAGCCAUGGAAACCCCAUUGGAACGUCUUUUCAUGGUACAUAGAGGCUGAAUAUGAAGGCAGCUCAGACCGAGAAGACUGGUGCCCACCGCUCGCCUCCGGGCAUCCCUCCUGGCGGAGUUGGGAAGUCUGGGAUCCUUCGCCUCUCUCUCUGAUCGUGCGGAGCCAUAGCUGCAGAAGCAGCAGCUCUGCCCCCUGCUGGACACGUGAGGCAGCCCGCACUUUUCCUGUUCCAGAUGCAGCGCCCUUGUGGUGCUGGGGGGAAGAGAUUUUUUGGCUCACUCUGAUGGAAACAGCAAAACUGGGCGGAAUAAAAAUCCCAGGUUUUUUUUCUCUCUAGUUUAUUUCUGAGGAUCUGAUCUAUUUGGAUGCAGAAAACAUUUCUGUUGUUUCUCUUGCCUGGACGGCUUUUUUCCUUCCUGCUAGCCAAACCCGGCCCCUUUCAAGCCCUGUUUCAGAGUCCACCUCCUCCAAAACGCCCUUUCUGACUCUCCUCUCCUAUGUGAAUGUUUUGAAAUACAGCUAUGCACAGACCCGGCCCACGGAGUGCACACUCACAUACUGGCUUUACUGUUGUGUCCUUGAGGGUGGGGGCCAGGUUUGUGUGGCCUUUGUGUUCACAGACCCCGCCCGUAAGGUCCAGCACAGAGCUGGGGAUGAAACCUGCUGGCAAGCCCUUGUUGAUUAAUGGAUUAAUUAAUCAAUUAGUUUCUACGGAAGCAACUCCAAGCCUUUGCUUUGAUAAAUCUUCCUCUUAGCUCUUUGGGGGAAUCUAGAUAGUGAUGUAAUUCAAUAUAGCCUUGCACAAUAAGUAGUUUCACAAAGCAGUUUCACAAGAGAACACCACCACCACCCAGAGAGGGAUGAGGAAGUUUGGAGUGGUCUGUUAGAAAGAUGAGGAGGAGGGUGGCGAUGUGGGAAGGAUGAAGAAUUAGGAGAGGGGAUCUCUGCUCCAGGGUUCAGCGACGCAGCACAGCCUCUAAAGCCAGGUUUAUAUCCAGACUCCACCACUUGCUGUGUGGCCUUGUACAAGUUUACUCUUCUCUCUGUGCCUCGCUUUUCUCCUCUGUAAAAAUAAGUGCCCAUCCUAUCGCGAUAUGAUGAGGAUAAAUUGACUUGAUAUUUGCAAAGUGCUAGGACAGUGUCUGGCACAUAGUAAGUGCUAUAUAACAGUUUGUAAAUGAGUUUUCCAGCUUAGCUGUCUUGUAAAUGGAAUGGGGGAAGAUUAUAUGAUCUCUCAGUUCUCUCCCGUGCUGACCUUCCGGGGCAGUGCAUGAGCUUUGCGGUCAGACAGGUCUGGGUUGACUCCUGUCUCUUUUAGCACCUGCAUGACCUGGGGCAGAUGGCUCUCCUUGGAGCCUCAGUUUUCUCUUCUGUGAAGUGGGGAUAAUUGUGUCUACCUCAAAAGACUUGUGUGCAUUCCGUGCUUGUAAAAUGCCUGGCAUGUAAGAAGCUCAAUAAACAGAAGCUCUGAUUAUUAUUAUCUAUGAGAAGAGAGCUGUAGAUAAAGGAGAAUAGAGUCUCUAAAAUCUUUGAGGUUUCAAGAAAGAUUGAACGUAUUGAAUAGCAAUGAGCUCAGCUCAAUUCACGGAGUUUGGGGGUGGGACGGUGGGCCCUGAUCUGGGCCCUGACCAGAUAGCACAACAUCAGAAGAAACCAGGAAUGGUGUGACUCACACAUCAGCUCUAGGAACAUUUUCUGCCCGAG